Mustela putorius furo (domestic ferret) is the source of this 388-nucleotide long non-coding RNA. The record is from Ensembl. NCBI's taxonomy places the organism in Eukaryota, Metazoa, Chordata, Mammalia, Carnivora, Mustelidae.
CGCGCCUCCAGGCAGAGGAGGGGCGGAAGGCGUGUCUGUGGCGCGCUCCCGGGGCGGGCUCGGCCUGGGUUACCCGCCGCUUCUGAGCUGGUAUCCGAGUUUGCAGGUAGCGCUGAAAAAUGUAAGGGGACAGCUCUAAGUGUGGCUAAAGAGAGGUACUACUGUACUCUGCAGCUAUUAGGAAAACAAGAAAGGUGACAUAACUGACCACAGCUUUGCAGUCCUCAAAACAUGUUUGUGUGUCAAACAGUUUUCCAAAAUGCAGCAUAAAAUAUGAGUACGAGGAUUGGCCUCACUGCAAGACCCAGGAGAACUCAUGUUUGUAAGUGUUACCUUAAAUCAGUGAUUCCCAGUCCUAUCACACCCAAUGCUACCUUCUACCAAAUGU